CCUACGGGAGGCUGCAGUGGGGAAUAUUGGACAAUGGGCGCAAGCCUGAUCCAGCAAUGCCGCGUGUGUGAAGAAGGCCUUCGGGUUGUAAAGCACUUUAAGUUGGGAGGAAAAGCUUGGGGUUAAUAGCCUUAAGUGUUGACGUUACCAACAGAAUAAGCACCGGCUAACUCCGUGCCAGCAGCCGCGGUAAUACGGAGGGUGCAAGCGUUAAUCGGAAUUACUGGGCGUAAAGCGCGCGUAGGCGGUUUGUUAAGUCAGAUGUGAAAUCCCCGGGCUCAACCUGGGAAUGGCAUUUGAGACUGGCAGGCUAGAGUAUGGUAGAGGUGAGUGGAAUUUCAGGUGUAGCGGUGAAAUGCGUAGAGAUCUGAAGGAACAUCAGUGGCGAAGGCGACUCACUGGGCCAUUACUGACGCUGAGGUGCGAAAGCGUGGGUAGCA
Molecule: ribosomal RNA, 440 nt
Filed under: uncultured bacterium
Lineage: Bacteria
Description: bacterial SSU rRNA
Rfam family: Bacterial small subunit ribosomal RNA
Source: RNAcentral